AUAGUGUUUCAAUAGGCAGGUAGUUCAGUAGGAUGACGAGCUCAUCAUAGGGUGUCUCAACAUGUGAUCAUCUCUUCAAUUUAUAGACUUAAUUUAUAUUUCU
Long non-coding RNA from Limulus polyphemus (Atlantic horseshoe crab), 103 nucleotides. RefSeq lists it as uncharacterized. The transcript is spliced from 3 exons. NCBI's taxonomy places the organism in Eukaryota, Metazoa, Arthropoda, Merostomata, Xiphosura, Limulidae. The record is from RefSeq and is a predicted model, not a curated record.